CCUACGGGGUGCAGCAGUCGAGAAUCAUUCACAAUGGGGGAAACCCUGAUGGUGCGACGCCGCGUGGGGGAAUGAAGGUCUUCGGAUUGUAAACCCCUGUCAUGUGGGAGCAAAUUAAAAAGAUAGUACCCCAAGAGGAAGAGACGGCUAACUCUGUUCCAGCAGCCGCGGUAAUACAGAGGUCUCAAGCGUUGUUCGGAAUCACUGGGCGUAAAGCGUGCGUAGGCUGUUUCGUAAGUCGUGUGUGAAAGGCGCGGGCUCACCCCGCGGAAGGCACAUGAUACUGCGAGACUAGAGUAAUGGAGGGGGAACCGGAAUUCUCGGUGUAGCAGUGAAAUGCGUAGAUAGCGAGAGGAACACUCGUGGCGAAGGCGGGUUCCUGGACAGUAACUGACGCUGAGGCACGAAGGCCAGGGGAGCGAAAGGGAUUAGAUACCCUAGUAGUC
RNAcentral lists this ribosomal RNA (446 nucleotides) under uncultured bacterium. RNAcentral's name for it is "partial 16S ribosomal RNA". It matches the Rfam family "Bacterial small subunit ribosomal RNA", at positions 338 to 795 of the family's 1533-position model. The record is from RNAcentral.